UCGAAGGUAAUUUGUACCGAUUCAAGGCUAGCUUUUCGUACUAAACUACUUUGAGUCGGUACGAAUCAUCUUCC
RNAcentral lists this microRNA precursor (74 nucleotides) under Stegodyphus mimosarum. RNAcentral's name for it is "mir-3931 microRNA precursor family". It matches the Rfam family "mir-3931 microRNA precursor family". The record is from Rfam by way of RNAcentral. Lineage: Eukaryota; Metazoa; Arthropoda; Arachnida; Araneae; Eresidae.